RNAcentral lists this ribosomal RNA (327 nucleotides) under uncultured eukaryote. RNAcentral describes it as "partial 18S ribosomal RNA". It matches the Rfam family "Eukaryotic small subunit ribosomal RNA", at positions 1470 to 1796 of the family's 1831-position model. The record is from RNAcentral.
CCCUUAGAUGUUCUGGGCCGCACGCGCGCUACACUGAUGCAUUCAACGAGUUUUUCCUGGUCCGAGAGGAAUGGGUAACCUUUUGAAAGUGCAUCGUGCUAGGGAUAGACUAUUGCAAUUAUUGGUCUUCAACGAGGAAUUCCUAGUAGACGUAGUUCAUCAGACUGCAUCGAUUACGUCCCUGCCCUUUGUACACACCGCCCGUCGCUCCUACCGAUUGAAUGGUCCGGUGAAGCGUUCGGACCGUGGCCUUUGGACGGUUCGCCGUCUGUUGGCUGCGGGAAGUUCGUUAAACCUUAUCAUUUAGAGGAAGGAGAAGUCGUAACA